Molecule: non-coding RNA, 116 nt
Organism: Triticum aestivum (bread wheat)
Lineage: Eukaryota; Viridiplantae; Streptophyta; Magnoliopsida; Poales; Poaceae
Source: Rfam
UUACUACUCCCUCCGUUCGGAAAUACUCGUCUUAGAAAUGAUUGUAUCUAGACUUAUUUUAAUUCUAGAUACAACCAUUUCUAAGACAAGUAUUUCCGAACGGAAGAGAAUAGUAC